This 472-nucleotide long non-coding RNA is filed under the name Gallus gallus (chicken). The record is from RNAcentral. Lineage: Eukaryota; Metazoa; Chordata; Aves; Galliformes; Phasianidae.
GGAGACCCCGGUGGCAAUGGUGCCCUCCGUGCUGGCACCAGUGGCCACCGGCGAGGGUUGGGGACAGGUGGGCACCAGCAGUGGCCAACCUCUGGCCGUGGUCUGUUGGCUGUGGGCUGGGCUCAGGGUGUUAGUCCUUGGGCGACUUCUUGCUGUGAGCGUUCCACAUGCCGCGCUUGGAGUGGUAAUAGUGGUAAAAGUUCCUGAGACGCAAGCGCUCCACCUCCAGCCCACUCUGAAGGACCCUGUCCAGGAGCUCCCAGUCCUCCCCGCCCCAGCGGUCCCUGAACUCCUCCGUGUUCAUCCCUCCGACGCGGUCAAAGUCCGACUUGUAGAUGCCAAAGAGACCAAAGCCAUUCACCUCCCAGUAACCGUUGGGCUCCCGUGGGGAGCUGCCACAGCUCAGCCUCAUGACGAUGGGCGCGUAGGCCAGCUUCCCUUCCACGCAGUGCUUCCGGAUGCUGUCCAGGAU